This is a long non-coding RNA of Rhagoletis zephyria (snowberry fruit fly), 443 nucleotides long. RefSeq lists it as uncharacterized. The record is from RefSeq and is a predicted model, not a curated record. Lineage: Eukaryota; Metazoa; Arthropoda; Insecta; Diptera; Tephritidae.
UUAUUCGCUGACAUUUCUUUUCUAAUUGCGUGAAAUUUGGUAAGUAUUGUAAUAAAACCGAAUUAUUUUACAAAUAAAUUAUAAUUUUGCAUUUAUUAGGUCAUUUCCUUAGUGUUUUCCUGGCCGACCUGUGCUGGUAUUGUAAUUAAGAGCUAAUACCCCAUUCUCUGGUGAACUGCAGCUGCGGCCGAAUUUGAUUGUGUGCAUCAUCCUGCAGAUAUUUUGAAAUUUUGUGGACGCUUCUGCUGUGCUGCGUUCCUGCUCCGCCCGUGUAUUGCUCCGCCCGUGUUUUAUAGUGUUGCGUCCCUGUUGCGCCUUUGCAUUAGUGUGUGCGUUGUGCUUUAGACACGUUGAAAUUGUUUGUAUGCUUCUGCUGUGCUGCGUUCCUGCUUCACCCGUGUAUUAGAAUGCUGCGUUCCUGUUAAUAUACCCGCGUAACUGAC